This 499-nucleotide ribosomal RNA is filed under the name uncultured bacterium. RNAcentral's name for it is "bacterial SSU rRNA". It matches the Rfam family "Bacterial small subunit ribosomal RNA", at positions 30 to 507 of the family's 1533-position model. The record is from RNAcentral.
CGAACGCUGGCGGCGUGCUUAACACAUGCAAGUCGAACGGGCUGAAGUGGUAGCUUGCUAUUAUGGAUGCUAGUGGCAAACGGGUGAGUAACGCGUAGGCAACCUGCCCUUCAGAUGGGACAACACUUCGAAAGAGGUGCUAAUACCGAAUGACGUAUCCAUUCCGCAUGGAGAGGAUACCAAAGGCCGGGCAACCGGUCACUGAAGGAUGGGCCUGCGUCUGAUUAGCUGGUUGGUGGGGUAACGGCCCACCAAGGCGACGAUCAGUAGCCGGUCUGAGAGGAUGAACGGCCACAUUGGGACUGAGACACGGCCCAGACUCCUACGGGAGGCAGCAGUGGGGAAUCUUCCGCAAUGGGCGAAAGCCUGACGGAGCAACGCCGCGUGAGUGAAGAAGGUCUUCGGAUCGUAAAGCUCUGUUGAAGGGGACGCACGGCGUCUACUACAAGACAGUAGAUGAAUGACGGUACCCUUCGAGGAAGCCACGGCUAACUACGUG